UGCGCUUACAAUCCGUCAGAGCCCUCCUUCGUGGUGGGGUGAUGGCGUGCCUUUUGAAGAAUGAGCCUGCGAGUCAGGGACAUGUCGCGAGGUUAACCCGUGUGGGGUAGCCGUAGCGAAAGCGAGUCUGAAUAGGGCGUAUCCACACAAUAGUGUGUGGUGUAGUGGUGUGUUCUGGACCCGAAGCGGAGUGAUCUACCCAUGGCCAGGGUGAAGCGCGGGUAAGACCGCGUGGAGG
This 238-nucleotide ribosomal RNA is filed under the name Mycolicibacterium vaccae. RNAcentral's name for it is "partial 23S ribosomal RNA". It matches the Rfam family "Bacterial large subunit ribosomal RNA", at positions 559 to 772 of the family's 2925-position model. The record is from RNAcentral. RNAcentral also lists the same sequence under 1 other name. Lineage: Bacteria; Bacillati; Actinomycetota; Actinomycetes; Mycobacteriales; Mycobacteriaceae.